AUGCCCUCAUUUUUGCCUCUGCUCUGUAUUUUUCUCAUCCUUUUCUCCUUCAACACUACAACACUCGAAGCAGCGCAAGAAAACAAGUCCGAGACUGAUCACCAAGCCCUCCUUUGCUUCAAGUCUGGCAUCAACUCUUAUCCCCUUGGCAUCCUAAAUUCAUGGAGUGAUGACUCACUGAACUUUUGCAGCUGGAAAGGGGUCAUUUGCAGCACAAAGUUUCCACCCCGGGUGGUCUCUCUUAAUGUCACCUCUGCUCGUCUCAGUGGGAAAAUUUCUGGAUGUGUAGGUAACUUAACGUUUCUGUCAUCGAUGAACCUUGCCGGUAAUGAUCUGUCGGGAACCAUCCCUGAAGAGUUGGGUAAGCUUCCAAACCUUCAUACGCUGAAUCUUGCCAGCAACAGUCUUGGAGGUAACAUCCCUGAUUCCAUAGGCACUAGCAAUUCCCUUAGCUAUGUCAAUCUUGCAAACAACACUCUGACCGGUGGUAUCCCUCUCUCAUUGGCCAAUUGCUCCUCACUCAGCACACUUAUACUGCCACGUAAUAACCUCUCUGGAAUGAUCCCCUCUCCUUUGUUUGAAAACUCAUCUAAGCUUUCUAUGGUUGAUCUCCAGACGAAUUCUUUCAUCGGUCUAAUCCCACACUUCCGUAAUGUAACAACACUCAAAUUUCUUUGCCUGACAGAGAACUUCCUCUCUGGAAGCAUACCUCCCACGAUAGGAAAUGUUUCAUCCCUCACUUCUAUAUUGCUCGGCCAAAAUAGGUUAUCGGGAUUAAUUCCAGAGACUUUGAGUCACAUUACAAAACUGCUUGAGCUUGAUCUAAGUUCCAACAGUUUAUCAGGGAGUGUCCCGUUGUCUCUUUACGACAUGACAUCACUCAAGUACUUUAGGGUAGGCACCAAUGCCCUUGUUGGACAGAUACCAUCUCACAUUGGUUACUCACUACCAAACCUCCAUUCCCUAAUCCUGGGAAGCAACAGGCUGGAGGGCCUGAUCCCUGCUUCACUAGCCAACAUGUUAAAUCUUCAAAUACUUGAUCUUUCAAACAACUCGUUACAUGGCUCUGUGCCAUCUCUUGGUUCGUUGGCAAACUUGCGUCAGUUAGUUUUGGGGAGCAACUUCCUAGAAGCACAUGACUGGUCAUUUCUUAGAUCUCUAGCAAAUUGCACCCAACUGACAAGGUUAUCCUUGGAAGGGAAUGCUCUGAAUGGCAGCCUACCUAUAGCAGUUGUUAAUCUUUCCACAAGUUUACAAAAUUUAUCACUUUCGUCAAACCAAAUUUCGGGCUCCAUACCUGUUGAGAUUAGCAAUCUUGUUAACCUCACUUCCCUUAUGAUGGAAAGCAAUUUUCUUUCUGGAAGCAUACCUUCUACCAUUGGUAAGCUGCAAAACCUAUAUAUCCUAAAUCUAUCAAAGAACAAAUUAUCAGGUCAGAUCCCUCCUUCAGUUGGUGGCAUUACUCAACUGGGCAAGCUUUAUCUUAGUGAUAACAAGUUGACUGGUAACAUACCUGGUAGGUUAGGUCAGUGCAAGGGACUUCUUGAACUAAAUUUGUCUCGAAACAACUUUGAUGGGUCAAUACCACUCGAACUCUUUGCUAACCCUCCAUUCUCCCUCGGUCUGGACUUCUCACACAACAAUCUCACUGGGGAACUGCCACUGGAACUUGGUACAGUUGGUGCUGGUGCUGGUCCAACAUCCCUUCACAUGGAAGGAAACAAGUUUCAUGGACAAAUUCCAGCAAGAUGGCAGUUAGUAUCAACCGUGCAGAUUAAUCUUUCUCACAAUGACUUAUCCGGUGCCGUGCCUGAAUUCUUUGAGCACCUUCAUAUGCUGGAGCAACUUGAUCUAUCUUACAACAACUUGGAAGGGGCUGUUCCUACAAGUGGGAUCUUUGAGAAUUCUACCGCAGUACUUUUGGAUAAUAACAAGGGACUCUGUUCGAAUUCCUCCAGGCUGGCAUUACCAAUUUGUCCUGGCAUAUCAGCUUCAGCAAAUAAAACAAAGCAUCAUUUGUCCUCGCUGGCAACCUUGCUGCUAAUUGUACUACCACCACUUACUAUUGCUUUCCUAGUCUUGCUAUGGUUUCUACCCACUCUUUGGAAGAGAGCGGUAUUCUCACUUUUACAAUUGGCUGCUGUGUCCAAGAAGAUGUUUCGUUUUUUUGCACAUCAGAAGAGAAGAGAAAUGCAUACAGUUCCGUUCAACGAUGAGAAGAAGUUGAAGAGGGUGUCAUAUCAGGACAUUCUUAAAGCUACCAACUGGUUUCUUCGCUUCAUACUAUCAGCUCAACUUGUACUGGAUCAGUUUAUGUUGGUAGGUUCAAGUCCGACAGGAGAUUGGUUGCCAUCAAAGUAUUCAACUUGA
RNAcentral lists this ribosomal RNA (2370 nucleotides) under Triticum aestivum (bread wheat). Its description in RNAcentral is "partial small subunit ribosomal RNA". Lineage: Eukaryota; Viridiplantae; Streptophyta; Magnoliopsida; Poales; Poaceae. The record is from RNAcentral.